CCUACGGGUGACAGCAGUGGGGAAUAUUGGGCAAUGGGCGCAAGCCUGACCCAGCAACGCCGCGUGAAGGAAGAAGGCUUUCGGGUUGUAAACUUCUUUUGUCAGGGACGAAGCAAGUGACGGUACCUGACGAAUAAGCAACGGCUAACUAAGUGCCAGCAGCCGCGGUAAUACGUAGGUGGCAGGCGUUAUCCGGAUGUACUGGGUGUAAGGGGCGUGUAGGCGGGACUUCACGUCAGAUGUGAAAACCACGGGCUCAACCUGUGGCCUGCAUUUGAAACUGUAGUUCUUGAGUACUGGAGAGGCAGACGGAAUUCCUAGUGUAGCGGUGAAAUGCGUAGAUAUUAGGAGGAACACCAGUGGCGAAGGCGGUCUGCUGGACCGCAACUGACGCUGAGGCGCGAAAGCGUGGGGAGCAAACAGGAUUAGAUACCCUAGUAGUC
Molecule: ribosomal RNA, 443 nt
Filed under: uncultured bacterium
Lineage: Bacteria
Description: partial 16S ribosomal RNA
Rfam family: Bacterial small subunit ribosomal RNA
Source: RNAcentral